Long non-coding RNA from Oxyura jamaicensis (ruddy duck), 138 nucleotides. RefSeq lists it as uncharacterized. The record is from RefSeq and is a predicted model, not a curated record. The transcript is spliced from 3 exons. NCBI's taxonomy places the organism in Eukaryota, Metazoa, Chordata, Aves, Anseriformes, Anatidae.
UCUGUUUUCUAACACUCUUAUAGAUACUUCUCUGUCCAUCGGUCUGUCCUGCCAACUCUGGUGUGAGUGUGAAGUGGCAAGAGGGAUUUCCUAUUCCUCUUUGACCUGGUGGACACCUACUUUCUUAGGAAAAUGGUG